This 83-nucleotide transfer RNA is filed under the name Oryctolagus cuniculus (rabbit). It matches the Rfam family "tRNA". Rfam says of the family: Transfer RNA (tRNA) molecules are approximately 80 nucleotides in length. Their secondary structure includes four short double-helical elements and three loops (D, anti-codon, and T loops). Lineage: Eukaryota; Metazoa; Chordata; Mammalia; Lagomorpha; Leporidae. The record is from Rfam by way of RNAcentral.
AGUGCUGUGGCACAGCAGGUUAACGCCCUGGCCUGAAGUGCCAGCAUCGCAUAUGGGCGCUGGUUCUAGCCCUGCCUGCUCUA